This 442-nucleotide ribosomal RNA is filed under the name uncultured bacterium. RNAcentral's name for it is "partial 16S ribosomal RNA". It matches the Rfam family "Bacterial small subunit ribosomal RNA", at positions 338 to 795 of the family's 1533-position model. The record is from RNAcentral.
CCUACGGGUGGCAGCAGUGGGGAAUAUUGGGCAAUGGGCGCAAGCCUGACCCAGCAACGCCGCGUGAAGGAAGAAGGCUUUCGGGUUGUAAACUUCUUUUUAGAGGGAAGAGCAGACGACGGUACCUCUUGAAUAAGCCACGGCUAACUACGUGACAGCAGCCGCGGUAAUACGUAGGUGGCAAGCGUUGUCCGGAGUUACUGGGGGUAAAGGGCGUGUAGCCGGGCUGACAAGGCAGAUGUGAAAUUCCGGGGCGCAACCCCGGACCUGCAUUGGAAACUGUUGGUCUUGAGUAUCGGAGAGGCAGGCGGAAUUCCUAGUGUAGCGGUGAAAUGCGUAGAUAUUAGGAGGAACACCAGUGGCGAAGGCGGCCUGCUGGACGACAACUGACGGUGAGGCGCGAAAGCGUGGGGAGCAAACAGGAUUAGAUACCCCUGUAGUC